This 695-nucleotide long non-coding RNA is filed under the name Coccomyxa subellipsoidea. RNAcentral's name for it is "long non-coding RNA (CSUB_LNC000189)". The record is from RNAcentral. Lineage: Eukaryota; Viridiplantae; Chlorophyta; Trebouxiophyceae; Coccomyxaceae.
GGGAACAUCACUCUGUGAGCUUAGCCUCCGUCAUCAAAAGGGAAAUGGGUGGGCAUCGAGGAGGAGGCGGGAGCGGAGCGCAAGGGGGGCCGGCGGGUGCGAGAGGAGCGUUGUGCAGGCAGGAAAAUGGAAUGCAAAAAGUCAGUCACUCGGGUGGUCUUGCUCAUACAUCCUGAAGAACCCACUGUCAAAGCUGCCAGUCCAGCACUCCAUGUUGCAGUGCUCAAGCCUGCUGAUUGGCUCAUCUUUUUGGAAAGCCAAGUCAUGCCAAGGUGGUUUGCAGACAGCUGUGUCCCUGUGUAUCUUACAACUGCCCAGAUGGCCAGAAAUGUGACACAAGCAAUUCAUGCUGAUAUCAGCGAGAUGAUAUAGCAAAUUGAUCUGGCUUCAUCCUGAACAAUAAAGUCCUAUGACCUGCCAUCAUGUUGCAUCAAGAUGUGGCCCAAUGGCGCAUGGCAAAGUGAAUUGCAUGGCAUCCAGAUUGGGAUUGGCAUACAUCUAAACAUCUACAGAUACCUGGGUUGAAGACUUCUUCCAAGAAAUUCACUGACGUUUUCUGUGCCUCCUAUAUGAGGUAUGGCAAGGCGAACAUGGAGGCAAGGCAGGCAAACGGAAGAACAUUUUGUAGCAGUGUCUUGAGCAUGACUUUCCAGAUGGGACAUCGCCCAUCUACACAGAAUAUGCUUCUGCCAUUC